AUUGAACGCUGGCGGCAUGCCUUACACAUGCAAGUCGAACGGCAGCAUGAUCUAGCUUGCUAGAUUGAUGGCGACGAGGGCGGACGGGUGACGUAUACAUCGGAACGUGCCCUGUAGUGGGGGAUAACUAGUCGAAAGAUUGGCUAAUACCGCAUACGACCUGAGGGUGAAAGUGGGGGACCGCAAGGCCUCAUGCUAUAGGAGCGGCCGAUGUCUGAUUAGCUAGUUGGUGAGGUAAAGGCUCACCAAGGCGACGAUCAGUAGCUGGUCUGAGAGGACGAUCAGCCACACUGGGACUGAGACACGGCCCAGACUCCUACGGGAGGCAGCAGUGGGAAUUUUGGACAAUGGGGGCAACCCUGAUCCAGCAAUGCCG
RNAcentral lists this ribosomal RNA (376 nucleotides) under uncultured Ralstonia sp. RNAcentral's name for it is "bacterial SSU rRNA". It matches the Rfam family "Bacterial small subunit ribosomal RNA", at positions 30 to 399 of the family's 1533-position model. Lineage: Bacteria; Pseudomonadati; Pseudomonadota; Betaproteobacteria; Burkholderiales; Burkholderiaceae. The record is from RNAcentral.